GGUUUCCAGCGCUCCGCCUUCCCCUUAAGCGCAUAAAGGUGAAACGUCGGAAACUGGACAGCCACCGAGACACCUGCAGCUGCUGGUGAGCAGGAGAAGCACUGGAGACGCGGACAGCGCCAUCCGGCUGAGGGACUCGGAGCAGAGUUCGGCUUCAGCACCAGGAUUUCGGACAGCUCCCAGCGGGUCACGAAGAGACUAGGCUUCAGCACCCGGCCCCUGGCAGUGCCAAGCUCUCAACACCCAGCUUCAGGGAUCGCCUUGGGGUCUGUUCUGGCGGAGAGUGUACAGGGAAGGAACCUCUUAAUGGUUCUUGGCAUUUGUCCUUUACGGAGGGAUUUUUUUUUUCUUUUUUGAAACAGGGUUUUUUUGUGUGUACCUCUAGCUGUUCUGAAACUCACUAUGUAGACUAGGCUGGCUUCAAACUCACAGAGUACAGGCGAAGCAUUUGGUCAACGAGAUGUUAUGAGUGCCUCUGGGUGUACUAAUUUCCAAAGUGAAGUGGUGAGGGGAAAGCCAGCCUCAAUCCAACUUUAAAUCUCAAGUUCUUUUUAUUUUUAAAAAGAGUUUUUCUCUCAAUUAUAUAUAUAAUUAUUAUUAUUUUAAAACACUGUAGACCAAGCUUUGAACUCCUUGUGUAGCCAAAGAUGAUCUUGAAGUUCUCAUCCUCCUGCCUCUACUCCCUGCGUGCUGGGGUGACAAGUGUGUGCUCCUCGUGCCUGGAACAAUAAAUCCCACGUUGGUGAUGU
RNAcentral lists this long non-coding RNA (749 nucleotides) under Mus musculus (house mouse). RNAcentral's name for it is "RIKEN cDNA A230051N06 gene (A230051N06Rik)". Lineage: Eukaryota; Metazoa; Chordata; Mammalia; Rodentia; Muridae. The record is from RNAcentral.